This 106-nucleotide microRNA precursor is filed under the name Canis lupus familiaris (dog). RNAcentral describes it as "mir-8834 microRNA precursor family". It matches the Rfam family "mir-8834 microRNA precursor family". RNAcentral also lists the same sequence under 1 other name. Lineage: Eukaryota; Metazoa; Chordata; Mammalia; Carnivora; Canidae. The record is from Rfam by way of RNAcentral.
AGGAGGAACAAGAACAGUGGCGAGGCCAGCUCUGGAGCCCUGGAUUCAGCUCCCACAGUAACUACAGAGCUCUCAGUCUGCAGUUGCCUGGAUCCUCUGGUGGCGC